This is a non-coding RNA of Lolium perenne, 577 nucleotides long. Lineage: Eukaryota; Viridiplantae; Streptophyta; Magnoliopsida; Poales; Poaceae. The record is from RefSeq and is a predicted model, not a curated record.
AGGAGAGGAGCUCUCUAUGUGAUAGUGCAGCAGAUGGAAAUUGGGUUUCCAAAUACAAAAGGAAGCGAAGCAAGUUAACAGCAGCUAGCUCAUCAAAUGAGCAUGAGGCUGCAUCACCAACGCCGGACUCUCUCAUGAACAAUGGUUCCAUAAAGAAGAGGUCCAAGCAUGACGCUGGCAUUUCUACGUCGACCAAGAAGAUACGAGGGCAUGAUGGGUGGAUCAAUGGUGCUCCAUAACCAGGGCCUUCAGCGCGGUUGUUUCAAGAUGAGGUCAGUUUUUUCGCCAUAUGUGUAGCCUUGCAGUUCUACAACCUAAGAUAUAUGUUUGGAUGUGUUUGAUUCAAACAUACAUAUUCAGAAACCGUUGUGUAUUUCAGAACUAUAAUUUAUCUUAAUUAGGUUAUAGUUUGGUGUUCUUUUUGACUAGGCUCUACAUGCUGCUUUGGCUAUCAGUGAUUUGGCCGCUCAAGCAUUGCUAGAGGACUUUUUAGGAAGCUGCAUUGACAUAUGCAGAUUUACUAAUUAUCGGAAUACUCUUUCAAGGUAAGAAUAUGGAGCCAAACUUGGAAAUGUUC